Molecule: non-coding RNA, 45 nt
Organism: Schistosoma curassoni
Lineage: Eukaryota; Metazoa; Platyhelminthes; Trematoda; Strigeidida; Schistosomatidae
Source: Rfam
AUUUAGCUGACGAGUCCUAAACAGAACGAAAUGGGAGUCAUAGAU